GUUGUAUGUAGUGCCACAUGAGUC
This 24-nucleotide non-coding RNA is filed under the name Arabidopsis thaliana (thale cress). Lineage: Eukaryota; Viridiplantae; Streptophyta; Magnoliopsida; Brassicales; Brassicaceae. The record is from RNAcentral.